AGGGAGACUAAGAAACCAGGAGGCCUCCAUCUCCUUGCUUCUUCUUCACGUACGGCGGGGCAGAAGAAGACGAGCAAGAGUGCGAAAAUCGCAGCGAUGAAGAACAAGUUGAGAGCCUUGGAGGAAGAGACCACUGGUAGUAGUGUCGUCAAGAGACAGAAAACUGGCUGAAAUAAUCUCCUAUUUUUGAGUUUGGUUUGGUCUUGAAGUUGGUUUAGUUCAAACA
RNAcentral lists this long non-coding RNA (226 nucleotides) under Linum usitatissimum (flax). Its description in RNAcentral is "long non-coding RNA (LUSI_LNC000297)". The record is from RNAcentral. Lineage: Eukaryota; Viridiplantae; Streptophyta; Magnoliopsida; Malpighiales; Linaceae.